RNAcentral lists this non-coding RNA (29 nucleotides) under Rattus norvegicus (Norway rat). The record is from RNAcentral. Lineage: Eukaryota; Metazoa; Chordata; Mammalia; Rodentia; Muridae.
UNGGAAGUUAUGCAUGUGUAAGUAGUUGG